RNAcentral lists this ribosomal RNA (473 nucleotides) under uncultured bacterium. RNAcentral describes it as "bacterial SSU rRNA". It matches the Rfam family "Bacterial small subunit ribosomal RNA", at positions 8 to 526 of the family's 1533-position model. The record is from RNAcentral.
AGGGUUUGAUCCUGGCUCAGAACGUACGCUGGCGGCACGCCUAACACAUGCAAGUCGAACGAAGUAGCAAUACUUAGUGGCAGACGGGUGAGUAACAUGUAGGUAUCUGCCCUUUGGCCUGGAAUAACACGAGGAAACUUGUGCUAAUACCGGAUAAGUCUUUACGGAGAAAGCUUUAUGCACCAUUGGAUGAGCCUGCACUUGAUUAGUUUGUUGGUGGGGUAAUGGCCUACCAAGACUGUGAUCAAUAGCUGAUUUGAGAGGAUGAUCAGCCACAUUGGGACUGAGACACGGCCCAAACUCCUACGGGAGGCAGCAGUGGGGAAUCUUGCACAAUGGAGGAAACUCUGAUGCAGCGAUGCCGCGUGAGUGAAGAAGGCCCUUGGGUUGUAAAGCUCUUUCGUCGGGGAAGAAAAUGACUGUACCCGAAUAAGAAGGUCCGGCUAACUUCGUGCCAGCCGCCGCGGUAAUAC